CUUCACCUUACCUGUAAUAAUUGUAGUGCAUCUUUAGGUUUUAAAAAUGCAAUGUGCAUCAUUUUUUAUAAGAGGAAAACAAAAAAGCAAACAUGUCUUCUCCACAGCCACAUAAGAAGGAUACACCAAAGACGAUGAAUCGCUAUGAAAUAUUGAAACAUACAAAUUGGAUGCUAAAUCAAAUUUAAAUAGAGGAUUUGAAUUCCAUUCGAAAACCAAUCACGGAUCCUCCGUUGGAAGAAUUACCUUCUCAAGCUCCACCUGAAGGAGAAAAAGAAGAAGAAGUCUCCGUCGUCGGUGUUCGGCGUCGGGGUUGUUGAGCAGUCCAGGGUGGAAGUGGAGCGUCUAACAUCUGGGUCUGAAGCCUCGGUGAUUUGCGGUACUUCUUAGGAAAUAAACGAACUGAAGCAGAGACAAGGUGCUCUUCCCUCCUGUGUUCAUAGUGUUUAAGACAUUUUCAAAUUAUGAAAGCUGGAUUUGGUUUUCCAUGACCCAUCCUAUUAAAUUGCCUUUGCCAUCUACGAUUGUACAGGAAUUUGAUCUGGAAAUGCUUUGAGGUAUGCAAAGAUGCACACCAAGUGUUUGAUAAAAUA
Macadamia integrifolia is the source of this 593-nucleotide long non-coding RNA. RefSeq lists it as uncharacterized. The record is from RefSeq and is a predicted model, not a curated record. The transcript has 2 exons. NCBI's taxonomy places the organism in Eukaryota, Viridiplantae, Streptophyta, Magnoliopsida, Proteales, Proteaceae.